AUGUCUGGGGAGCUGCCAUCAUCUCUGGGCAACUGUACAAAUCUCAAAACCAUCGAUCUGAAGAUCAAUAAGUUCAGUGGAGAUCUAGGAAAAGUAAACUUCUCCGCCCUGCAGAAUCUGAUAAGUUUAGAUCUCAUGAGGAAUAGUCUCAGUGGCAUAAUUCCAGAAAGCAUUUAUUCAUGCAGCAAUUUGGCUGCACUGCGGCUGUCGGCCAACCAUUUCCAUGGUGAGAUCUCACUGAGAAUAGGCAAUCUGAAGCACCUGUCCUUCCUAUCACUUGUUAGAAACUCCUUCACAAACAUUACAAAAGCUUUGCAUGUUCUUAAGAGCUGUAGGAACAUCAGCACCCUGCUUAUUGGCAAAAACUUCAUGAAUGAGGCCAUGCCAGAAGAUGAAGCCAUUGUUGGCUUCCAGAACCUUCAAUAUCUCUCCAUGCACCACUGCUCGUUGACUGGAACGAUACCUAAUUGGUUGUCAAAGCUCACAAACCUGAAGAUACUAAGCUUAUUCAGCAAUCAACUCACCGGACCAAUGCCAAGCUGGAUCAACUCCCUAGACCAACUCUUUUCUUUGAAUGUAUCUAACAACAGUCCUACUGGGGAAAUCCGAAUCACCUUAAUGCAGAUGCCAUUGUUAAAAUCAGAUAAGGUUGGCAUGUAUUCGGAAUCGGAACCAAGCCUCCUUGAUCUAGGUCUACUUAUUUAUGGAGCGAAUCCAUCACGACGUCAAUACCGCAUAGGCAGUGCUUGGCCCAAAGUGCUGAAUCUUGGUAAUAAUUUCACAGGUGUAAUCCCACAAGAGAUCGGUCAUCUGAAAGCACUCCUUUACCUAAACUUGGGUUUCAACAACUUCCAUGGAGAGAUCCCACGAUCUGCAACCUCACAAACCUGCAGGGGCUCGACUUGUUUAAUAACCAUCUCACGGGUGCAAUCCCUGUGGUACAUGAUGUUUGUUUCUCUAGCU
Molecule: ribosomal RNA, 963 nt
Filed under: Triticum aestivum (bread wheat)
Lineage: Eukaryota; Viridiplantae; Streptophyta; Magnoliopsida; Poales; Poaceae
Description: partial small subunit ribosomal RNA
Source: RNAcentral